Molecule: ribosomal RNA, 465 nt
Filed under: uncultured bacterium
Lineage: Bacteria
Description: partial 16S ribosomal RNA
Rfam family: Bacterial small subunit ribosomal RNA
Source: RNAcentral
GCCAGACUCCUACGGGAGGCAGCAGUGAGGAAUAUUGGUCAAUGGGCGCAGGCCUGAACCAGCCAAGUCGCGUGAGGGAAGACUGCCCUAUGGGUUGUAAACCUCUUUUAUAAGGGAAGAAUAAUGACUACGUGUAGUCAGAUGCCCGUACCUUAUGAAUAAGCAUCGGCUAACUCCGUGCCAGCAGCCGCGGUAAUACGGAGGAUGCGAGCGUUGUCCGGAAUUACUGGGCGUAAAGGGCGCGUAGGUGGGCGCUUAAGUCAGGUGUGAAAACGCCGGGCUCAACCUGGAGACUGCACUUGAAACUGGGUGUCUUGAGGGCAGGAGAGGAAAGUGGAAUUCCUAGUGUAGCGGUGAAAUGCGUAGAUAUUAGGAGGAACACCAGUGGCGAAGGCGACUUUCUGGACUGUACCUGACGCUGAGGCGCGAAAGCGUGGGUAGCGAACGGGAUUAGAUACCCCAGUA